This is a long non-coding RNA of Anguilla rostrata (American eel), 1475 nucleotides long. RefSeq lists it as uncharacterized. The transcript has 3 exons. The record is from RefSeq and is a predicted model, not a curated record. Lineage: Eukaryota; Metazoa; Chordata; Actinopteri; Anguilliformes; Anguillidae.
UCCUGUAAGUAUAUACAUUUAUUUGAGUUUCUUUUUCUAAUGCUCUGAAAUAAAUACACUUAAAGCAAAAGUCUGUUAAAGCUAAAGUGUUUUUAUUUUUAUUUUUUAACAGAUAUGCCCAGCACUCAAGUUCUGAACGAAGGUGGGUUAGCAAUUUGCAUAUGCAUUAACGACAUUGCUCAUGGGACCGCCUUUUGAGUUUGCUUAUAAAACAGGAUAACUUUUUACCAGUUCUAGAGAUCUUGACAACUAAUGAAGAGCUGGGGCCAAGUCUACCAACAAAUCCACAAACAUCGGAGCAAGGGCGGAUCAACCCUGCCAAGGAGAACGCAAGCUUAUUGACACCUACACUUAUUUGUAAGAAUCCAUUCUUUAAACUGUUUAGUAUGCUGUUUGAAGGAUUUACAGUUAUUUACAGAUACUCUUUAUUAUACAGGUCAAGAAGAACCAGAAAAAACUUUUGAAGAGGGUAAAAAAUCCCAUCUAAAGCUCCGCAAAAAAAGGAAAUGUUUUAGCGAAUCAGGUCCUGAGAACCACGUGGCGGAGAGGGUCGUGGGAGAAAUGGUGGUGAAACAGACCACAACACAAAAGCCUAAACUGCUUGAAGAGUUAACAGCUGAGGAAGCCCCUGGACACCGAGAGGACUACAGUGCUGAGGAAAGCAACCAACAAGCUCGGAUAUCACACCUCCAGGAGCAACCAGCUGAGGAAGCCCCUGGACAUCGAGAGGACUGCAGUGCUGAGGAAAGCAACCAACAAGCCCGGAUAUCACACCUCCAGGAGCAACCAGCUGCUGAAGCAAUUAUCCAGAAGCCAGAGGACGCAGAAAGGCGAUCCUUUAAGGAACAAGUGCAUUUGUAAGCUCUGAAAAUCUUCAGUCGUGAGUUACGUCUGAACAACGUCUCACAGUUUUGAAGGAGUCUGAGUUUCGUUUGGCUGAACAACGUCUCGCAGUGUUUCAGAAAUUCUUCGAAAAAUAUUAGAAAUGGCACAGAGGCAACAACCAGAUCAGUUACGCUGGGCACACAGCACAGAGAGUAUUAACUCACAAAUUUUACAAGCAAUUAAUGUUAGAAAUCAAGGCAACUCCCACAAGCUGCUGAAAACAUUCAACAUGCUUUCAUAAACCCAGAUCUGCUACAUCUUGUUAAUAAUAUUAACCAGGAUACUAACGUCAUGCAUGAAAUGGCUGGAGACUACUUUGAUCGGUUGAACGAGGCUUUGGCAAACCUUACCGCUGGUGAUGGUGAACUAACCCCUGCAGCAGACUAUAUUGGUUUUCUGAAUGAGGCUUUAAAUCAACUAAACCAGGACGGGGGGCAUCUUAAUGAAUUACCACUAACACCUACAGCUGCUAACAGCCCACAAGGUUCUGGUGAUGUGCAUGAUGCUAACAGUAAUGAUGAUGCUGGUGAGCCAACAUGUCUGGGGUGAGGACCCAAACGAACAUGAUCCAAUUGACCCCUACUAUGGUG